GGUCACGUGACGGAGACGUUCGUGACGUCACACGCGGCGUCCUUAUAUACUGGGAACUAGGCGCUACCGUCUUAGAACUGGGAAUCUGUCCUUUUGUUUCUAAGAUCGGCUUUGGCACAGCUAAGAAAACUCUUUAUUAGUAAUGGAGUACAUGAAAGAGCCUGCAACAAGCAGCCAGGGCAACAUACUUUGCUGCCAGUGUGGCAUUCCAAUCCCCCCCCAAUCCAGCCAACAUGUGUGUAGCCUGCUUGCGGACACAGGUUGACAUUAGCGAGGGCAUCCCAAAGCAAGUGUCAGUGCAUUUCUGCAAACAAUGUGAACAGUACGACUUAUCGAUGCAGGCUUUGUCUGGACUGAGCAUCAUUCAAAGAGGCUAAAAGUAAAGCUAACCAUACAAAAGAAGGUGAUGAAUGGAGCAAUUCUUCAGCAGGUUUUUGUGGUAGACUAUGUUGUUCAAUCCCAGAUGUGUGAUGAUGUGCCAUAGAGUAGAAGCUAAAGAUUUCUGGAAAGCUGUGUUCCAGAUCCGUCAAAAGGUUCUUCACAAAAAGACCUUCUACUAUUUGGAACAGAUUAUUCUGAAACACAGACUUCAUCAGAACACACUGCGUGUCAAAGAGAUUCAUGGUAACGGCAUCAUCUCUUCCAUCCCAUUCACAAAGCAGCAGUUUAAAGUUUUAUUGUUUUAUUCAGUAUUUUUUAUUUUUGGCCUGGAACCUCUGUCUAGAAAUGUAAUUCUCUCCUGGUUACCAAGCAGCCAAAACAUUACCUGGAGUAGUAGCAGCACAAGCCUUUGUUUAAUGUUUUGUCAGGGUCAGAUCUAAAAGCCGUGAAUCACUAUCAAGAAUAUAAUUGAAUUUUUGUUCCUGAAAGCCUUGGGUAAAAUUGAUUAAAGUGGUAAUAAUGUUAUGAAAAAUGAUGGCAUCUUCUUGCUUUAAGGAGUUUAGUUUGUAUUAACUAUGUGUUUGCUAUGAGCUUCUUCCUUAUCUAGAAGUAUCAGACUUCUAUUGGGUUUUGGCAGUGCUUUCUCUAUAGUAAGCUUAUCUUUUUUCCCUUUGCAAAGAGAGGGUUUAAGCUAGUGUCUCAUAGUUACUUUCCAGCAGCCAUUAAUCAAUGUUAAAGGGAUUGUUCACCUUUAAAUGAACUUUUAGCAUGAUGUACAGUUAUAAUAAUUUGCAGUUGUUUUUUUAUUGUUUGUGGUUUUAAAGGUGUUUCGUUUUUUAUUAAGCAGCUCUGCAGUUUCAGCAAAUUACCCUAGCAACCAUUGAAUGAUUUGAAUGAGAAACUGGAAGAUGAAUAGGAGAUGGCCUGAAUAGAAGAUUGAAUAAUAAAAAGUAGCCAUAACAAUAACUUUUUAGCCUUAAGGAGCAUUUGUCUUUGUCUUUUUUGAAAAAGGCAAAUAAUUAAAAAAACUCUAAAAAUAAAUAAAU
This is a long non-coding RNA of Xenopus laevis (African clawed frog), 1427 nucleotides long. RefSeq lists it as uncharacterized. The transcript has 6 exons. The record is from RefSeq and is a predicted model, not a curated record. NCBI's taxonomy places the organism in Eukaryota, Metazoa, Chordata, Amphibia, Anura, Pipidae.